This 1817-nucleotide long non-coding RNA is filed under the name Sus scrofa (pig). RNAcentral's name for it is "lncRNA (ENSSSCG00070001575.1)". The record is from RNAcentral. Lineage: Eukaryota; Metazoa; Chordata; Mammalia; Artiodactyla; Suidae.
GUCUGUGGUCCGCUGGACUUCGAUUGGUCCAUCUGUCCUUCACGCUGGAAGACGUACGGAGCCGCGAGACUCUGGAGGUCGCAUUUGAAUUUGUGGCGCGUCGAGUUCGUGAGGUGGAGAAGGGAGCGGGGCGUCUUCCUGGAGCCCCAAACCGGGUGGUGAGCGACCCUGGAGGGAGAAAGGUGAAAAGGGCGGACGAGGUGGUAUUCCCAUUUUAUAGAUGAGGAACCUGAAGCUCAGAUAGAGUAAGUACUUCACUCAUGACAGAGGGAAGGAAUGACUGCCUCUGUUAGACUUCAGAGUGUAUUUUCUACUAUAUAGUACUCAUUAUUUUUCCUUUGUCCUUCUCAUUACACCGCCUCUUCAUUAUCUUUGUGUAUUUGAAGAUAGUUUUUAUUAGAAAUUUUGGGAUAAGAAUUUGUCUCAUGAUUUUUCACUUGUGAUUUAGAAAGAAUCAUGUUAAAUAUUACAUAAUUAGAAUAGGUAUGAAGAGAAUUGAAUUCUUGUGCUAUCUCUGAUUCUGGCUAUAUAACAUUGGGACAAAUCACCUAUUUGGGGUCUUUUUUUUUUUUUUUGACUUUUUGUCUUUUUGUAUUUUCUAAAGGGCCACACCUGCGGCAUAUUGAGGUUCCCAGGCUAGGGGUCUAAUCGGAGGUACAACUGCCAGCCUACACCAGAGCCAUAGAAAUGCAGGAUCCGAGCCACAUCUGCCAUCUACACCACAGCUCACGAAAACGCCAGAUCCUUAACCCACUGAGCAAGGCCAGGGAUUGAACGCGCAACCUCAUGGUUCCUAGUCAGAUUUGGUAACCACUGAGCCACGAUGGGAAUUCCCUAUUUGGGGUCUUAUUUUUAAAAUGCUGUCAUCGGUUUGGAUGAUUUUAAAGAUUUCCUCAAACUCUAAAAUUUAAUUUGACUCUAUUUAGAUUUAGUGUUUAUACUUGUUUUUUUAUAAUGUUUAUGCUUGUUUUUUAGCACAGAUAAGAAUUUUACCACAUGUAUUUUAUCCCAUUAAAUGUUAUAUUUUAUUAAAGUUAGGGGACAAGGAGAUCUGAUUUUUAUUCUUUAUUUGCACUCUUAUAUCCAGUAUUGAAGUUCAAUAAUUGGAAGAAAUUCCAUAUAAAGAAGUAAUUAAUCUUAGUAUAAAGAUACUCUUUCUUUUAAACUAUUGAAGAUUCUUUUAGUCUUUACAGUUAGAAGGAAAGCUUAAUAUUAUAAAAGGAUAUAUAUUGUUUUUCAUAGAAAAUAUUUAUAUCAAAGAAGAUAGGGAAAGGGGACUGUUACCUUUAAAGCACUUGAAAGUUUUUACCAAUAAUACUAAUAGAAAUUAUAGUUCUACGUAAUUUUUAUUGAGAGUUAAUUUUUUGCUAUUGUAUUGUACUAAGCAUUUUAUAUACAUUGCAUCAUUUACUAUUCAUGAAAGCCCUAUGAUAUAGGUGUGAUUAUUAUUCCCAUUUUACAUGUUAGGAGAUAGAAAAUUGAUGAGUUAGCAAUUUCUUUUAGAGCUACAGUUAGUAAGUGGUAAAGCUGAGAUUUGAAUCUAUACAGUACUGCAGAGAUUUUAUUUACAAACUGGAGGAUAAUUAUAAUCAGGUUAUCAUUGAUAAUGCUUACAAAUGAAACAUGAAAUUUUUUAGGAAAAUAUUAGGUUUGAUGACUUUUGGUAAAUGACAGUUUCCAAGUUCUCAGUUUUGAUCACUACUUAGUUAUAUAUUUUACUGAUACAGUCAUAAAACAUGUAAUAACUUUUGGAUAAUUUUAUAACAUUACUUAUUUUCUGAAGAGUUAAUAAAUUCCUUUGAAGUUAUAGGAAAACA